UGUGUCUCAAUUCAGGGUCUGCAUCCUACCUCGGCCGGAUUCGUCGGCCGGUUACGUCACAGCGCCGCGACUCGGCCUGUCCCAAUUCGAAGACUCCUUCAAAUGCGGUCGACGAAUGCGGCCUUCUUUUCGCCUGAAUGAAGGAUGGGUCGGGUGUAUCCUUCAAUAGGUAGCAUUUCCCAAGAUGCCUUGCGGGCCGGCCGGCAGAAAAACUUAAAAACAAUGGCGGACAGUGAAGCGGGAGCUGUCGGAGAGGAUUGCGCAUAUAAAUGUAAGUAUAAACUUGAAAACUGUCAGUUUAAGGACUUUUUGUGAUACAUGAACGUUAUUUUAGUUAGAAAUGUUACAGUAAAAGUGCUUGUAUUGCGGUCUCGGCUCGUAUGUUCGGCCGCGCUCGGUGUCGUACUUCUCCCACUACGUUUCCCCCUGAUUUUAAUAGAAGUUUGUAUUUUAGGACCAAAAGAGAAAACCAGGGAAUUUAUUAAGCUUAGGGCGGAGAUGGACCACAUGAUCACCGGAGCAAAGUAUUCGGCGGCUGUGGCAUGGAGACUAUUCUGGAGAAAAUGGGCAUCCAGGGGAAGGUGCCAGCGAUGAGCUUCUGGAGCUGAUCUGUGAGGACAUGAGGCUGCAGAGCAGCAGAGAGCACAGGAGAGAAGGAAGAACUUUGACAGCUUUUUACUUUGCUAGAAAAAAAUGGUUAAUGAAGAUUAAACAUGUACAUGUAAAAGAAAUAUCUAAAUAAAAUCAGUUCUGCAUUAAA
Molecule: non-coding RNA, 760 nt
Organism: Nothobranchius furzeri (turquoise killifish)
Lineage: Eukaryota; Metazoa; Chordata; Actinopteri; Cyprinodontiformes; Nothobranchiidae
Source: RefSeq, a predicted model, not a curated record